AUGCUUUUCCCCCUUUCCUUUCUCUCUCCUCUCCUCUCACCCAUCCAUUCCACACAUCCAUCCACCAGGAUUCAGGAGAGAGAGAGAGAGAUUGUGCUGGUUCUCUGUGCCAGGCGGUUCGUCGGUUGGGAUUGGGUUGCUUGCGUCUAUUGCAGAAAGAGAGUUGAAUCCAUCCAGCAAACCUAUGGGAGCUGGCUCCUGAGCCGCGGCGGCGGGCGGGCGUAUCUGCUGGGAGAUGAAACUGGAAAGGUUUUGCAUUAUCUGCCAUUCCAAGUUUUCCUGCUAGCAGUAGACAUCAUGGGGUCUGGAUCAGUGACUCUGAAGGAAAAGAAACGAGUGAAACAUACAAAGAACAAGUACUUGAAGCCUGGUGCCCUGGCUCAAAUUCGUUAUAGUAGGAGCACAAGCAGGGAUAUAGGGAAGAAACGGAUUCUGUUGAAUGUGGAGAAGGACGAUGAGCUGGAGACAUCACCACAUGCCGAGGUUGUGUUUGAAAGCAGUACACCAAUUAUGUCUCCAGCAAGACUCAGUUUUGAGACAUUUAGUGGCAUCAAGGGACAGUUGUUGCCAACAACUCCAAAGACUCCUCAAGCAGCUGAAUGUGAUGGCCAUUCAAGGCUUGAGUCACUUCCACUUGAUCUGUUGAUCAAGAUCGUCUGUUACUUGCACCAUGACCAGCUGAAGGCUGUUUUCCACGUUUCAUCAAGGAUCCGAAAGGCAGUGGAACUGGCACGGCAGUACCAUUUCAACUACACCACUCCAGAUCGCAGCAGGCAGGAACUGCUCCAAAACAAGACCCCUCUCCGGAGUGAGCAUUGGCCUUUCAUGAGCAGAAUAGACGGCAAGGAUGUGAGGGUCGCCACCCCAAGAACCCCAAAGGCCCCAAAACAUGGCCCUCGGCCUUCACGUUUCAAGCUGCUUGACGUGAAGCCGAUCACAGCCGUUCUUUUCCCAGAUUCGUUGCCUUCAAAAAAGCGCCGUCUGCGGCGUCUGAUGCCGCCAGGAUUGCCAAGGCCUGUACCCAAAGCCGCAGCCUCUCCCAGAGUUUUACUAUACGAGGAAGAGCUUUGCGAAGCGGUGGCGCAGAAUAAGCUUCUAUGA
RNAcentral lists this ribosomal RNA (1101 nucleotides) under Triticum aestivum (bread wheat). RNAcentral describes it as "partial small subunit ribosomal RNA". Lineage: Eukaryota; Viridiplantae; Streptophyta; Magnoliopsida; Poales; Poaceae. The record is from RNAcentral.